This 429-nucleotide ribosomal RNA is filed under the name Pseudomonadota bacterium. RNAcentral describes it as "Proteobacteria bacterium partial 16S ribosomal RNA". It matches the Rfam family "Bacterial small subunit ribosomal RNA", at positions 355 to 776 of the family's 1533-position model. The record is from RNAcentral. Lineage: Bacteria; Pseudomonadati; Pseudomonadota.
UGGGGAAUAUUGGACAAUGGGCGAAAGCCUGAUCCAGCCAUGCCGCGUGUGUGAAGAAGGUCUUCGGAUUGUAAAGCACUUUAAGUUGGGAGGAAGGGCAGUAAGCGAAUACCUUGCUGUUUUGACGUUACCGACAGAAUAAGCACCGGCUAACUCUGUGCCAGCAGCCGCGGUAAUACAGUGGGUGCAAGCGUUAAUCGGAAUUACUGGGCGUAAAGCGCGCGUAGGUGGUUCGUUAAGUUGAAUGUGAAAGCCCCGGGCUCAACCUGGGAACUGCAUCCAAAACUGGCGAGCUAGAGUAGGGCAGAGGGUGGUGGAAUUUACUGUGUAGCGGUGAGAUGCGUAGAUAUAGGAAGGAACACCAGUGGCGAAGGCGACCACCUGGGCUCAUACUGACACUGAGGUGCGAAAGCGUGGGGAGCAAACAGG